GAUGACAUAAAGCAGCAGCAAAACCUCCAUACUGAACAGAAGACAUCAGUGACCACAGAUAUAGAACAUUUCCUGUGGCCAGGCGACAGCAGCUGAAAUAUUAUGCCCUAUAUCAGAUCUGACAAUAUGCAUGGAAGCAUUUAAGCUUGAACUGAACCUUGAGGCAGACUGGCUACAGCAGCAGCAGCAGACCACAUCAGGACUUCUCCAUCCACCUGUUCUUGACCCCAUCCUGUUGGCCUCCAGUCUGAUGAACUUUGACCCUGGUCAAUCAGUAACAGUCAGGAACCUCUU
Molecule: long non-coding RNA, 294 nt
Organism: Oreochromis aureus
Lineage: Eukaryota; Metazoa; Chordata; Actinopteri; Cichliformes; Cichlidae
Exons: 3
Source: RefSeq, a predicted model, not a curated record